CUAAUCAGAGCCUCUGAUGAACAUGAGGUGAAGAAUAUUGCUUCACCAAAAAAGAAAAUAUGUGGAGUGGGCUGCUGCCUCCUGGACUCAACGAAAGUGAUGUUGAGUUGAAUUCUGAAGAUGAAGCCGCAUCAGAAAACUCCAGACUUCACUUCCAGGAAGCUAAAGAAGAUCAUAUGACUAGAAACACAGAAAUCUCAGAUUUCCCGACAGAUGGACCAAAAACUGAAACAGAGGCAAAUGUAAAUGCAUAUGAAGAGUUCCCUUCUGGAAUUUCCUUACAUAUGUGGAAUAAAUUUCAAGAAUUGCAUAAAAAACAUUCUGAACAGAAAACCUCAACCUCAGGAUUCAGGAGGAAAAAAAGAAAACGCUCCAGGAAAGGUAAAUUGAAGAAUGAAGAGACAUCUUGUAGUGAACAAUCCUCAAAUGAAACCCAGUGGAAGGAGCUUACUCAGUAUUUUGGAGUCAAUGAUAGGUUUGACCCCCCUGUAAAAAAGAAAAAAAUUGACAAGUCAAGUCUUGAAAAGAGCAUAGACCAAGCUGUGGAAGAGUGGAAUAUCGAGAAGGCGGAGGAAUUCAGCAACCACCUGGCUACUCGCGAGCUUGGUGUUAAAAUUGCCAAAGCUAUCGCCUGCCACAACUUUGUAAAAGCCAAAAAGGAGGCUGAAAAUUCACAGGUUGUUCGAAAAAAGAAGAAACUUGCGUGGGGAUUUGAAGCAAAGAAGAGAUGGGAAACCAAAAGCAACAUGGGAUAUAUGUAACUUGCCAGAGUUCUGCAAGAUCUUUCUGACUCCCAAGUGCUUGAUUUACUGAUAAGAUUUUCUUGCUUACACUAAAUAUGCCAAGAAACAGAUAGAAGUAGAAAAACAGAGCCUAAAAUUUGGGAGUUGAUUAUCAAA
Molecule: RNA transcript, 899 nt
Organism: Trichechus manatus latirostris (Florida manatee)
Lineage: Eukaryota; Metazoa; Chordata; Mammalia; Sirenia; Trichechidae
Gene name: protein FAM204A pseudogene
Exons: 1
Source: RefSeq, a predicted model, not a curated record